Molecule: ribosomal RNA, 602 nt
Filed under: uncultured Fusarium
Lineage: Eukaryota; Fungi; Ascomycota; Sordariomycetes; Hypocreales; Nectriaceae
Description: eukaryotic LSU rRNA
Rfam family: 5.8S ribosomal RNA (bases 219-372)
Source: RNAcentral
CUUGGUCAUUUAGAGGAAGUAAAAGUCGUAACAAGGUCUCCGUUGGUGAACCAGCGGAGGGAUCAUUACCGAGUUAUACAACUCAUCAACCCUGUGAACAUACCUAAAACGUUGCUUCGGCGGGAACAGACGGCCCUGUAACAACGGGCCGCCCCCGCCAGAGGACCCCUAACUCUGUUUUUAUAAUGUUUUUCUGAGUAAACAAGCAAAUAAAUUAAAACUUUCAACAACGGAUCUCUUGGCUCUGGCAUCGAUGAAGAACGCAGCGAAAUGCGAUAAGUAAUGUGAAUUGCAGAAUUCAGUGAAUCAUCGAAUCUUUGAACGCACAUUGCGCCCGCCAGUAUUCUGGCGGGCAUGCCUGUUCGAGCGUCAUUACAACCCUCAGGCCCCCGGGCCUGGCGUUGGGGAUCGGCAGAAGCCCCCUGUGGGCACACGCCGUCCCUCAAAUACAGUGGCGGUCCCGCCGCAGCUUCCAUUGCGUAGUAGCUAACACCUCGCAACUGGAGAGCGGCGCGGCCAUGCCGUAAAACACCCAACUUCUGAAUGUUGACCUCGAAUCAGGUAGGAAUACCCGCUGAACUUAAGCAUAUCAAUAAGCGGAG